This 253-nucleotide ribosomal RNA is filed under the name uncultured bacterium. RNAcentral's name for it is "partial 16S ribosomal RNA". It matches the Rfam family "Bacterial small subunit ribosomal RNA", at positions 524 to 776 of the family's 1533-position model. The record is from RNAcentral.
UACGAAGGGGGCGAGCGCUGUUCGGAAUUACUGGGCGUAAAGGGCUCGUAGGCGGCCAACUAAGUCAGACGUGAAAUCCCUCGGCUCAACCGGGGAACUGCGUCUGAUACUGGGUGGCUUGAAUCCGGGAGAGGGAUGCGGAAUUCCAGGUGUAGCGGUGAAAUGCGUAGAUAUCUGGAGGAACACCGGUGGCGAAGGCGGCAUCCUGGACCGGCAUUGACGCUGAGGCGCGAAAGCCAGGGGAGCAAACGGG